UACGUAGGGUGCGAGCGUUAAUCGGAAUUACUGGGCGUAAAGCGUGCGCAGGCGGUUUUGUAAGCCAGGUGUGAAAUCCCCGGGCUCAACCUGGGAAUGGCAUUUGGGACUGCAAGGCUGGAGUGCGGCAGAGGAGACUGGAAUUCACGGUGUAGCAGUGAAAUGCGUAGAUAUCGUGAGGAAGACCAGUGGCGAAGGCGGGUCUCUGGACAGUUCCUGACACUGAGGCACGAAGGCCAGGGGAGCAAACGGG
RNAcentral lists this ribosomal RNA (253 nucleotides) under uncultured bacterium. RNAcentral describes it as "partial 16S ribosomal RNA". It matches the Rfam family "Bacterial small subunit ribosomal RNA", at positions 524 to 776 of the family's 1533-position model. The record is from RNAcentral.